This 501-nucleotide ribosomal RNA is filed under the name uncultured bacterium. RNAcentral's name for it is "partial 16S ribosomal RNA". It matches the Rfam family "Bacterial small subunit ribosomal RNA", at positions 28 to 507 of the family's 1533-position model. The record is from RNAcentral.
GACGAACGCUGGCGGCGUGCCUAAUACAUGCAAGUCGAGCGGACCGGAUUGGGGCUUGCCUUGAUUCGGUCAGCGGCGGACGGGUGAGUAACACGUGGGCAACCUGCCCGCAAGACCGGGAUAACUCCGGGAAACCGGAGCUAAUACCGGAUAACACCGAAGACCGCAUGGUCUUCGGUUGAAAGGCGGCCUUUGGGCUGUCACUUGCGGAUGGGCCCGCGGCGCAUUAGCUAGUUCGUGAGGUAACGGCUCACCAAGGCGACGAUGCGUAGCCGGCCUGAGAGGGUGACCGGCCACACUGGGACUGAGACACGGCCCAGACUCCUACGGGAGGCAGCAGUAGGGAAUCUUCCGCAAUGGGCGAAAGCCUGACGGAGCGACGCCGCGUGAGCGAAGAAGGCCUUCGGGUCGUAAAGCUCUGUUGUGAGGGACGAAGGAGCGUCGUUCGAAGAGGGCGGCGAGGUGACGGUACCUCACGAGAAAGCCCCGGCUAACUACGUG